This 85-nucleotide transfer RNA is filed under the name Felis catus (domestic cat). It matches the Rfam family "tRNA". From Rfam's summary of the family: Transfer RNA (tRNA) molecules are approximately 80 nucleotides in length. Their secondary structure includes four short double-helical elements and three loops (D, anti-codon, and T loops). Lineage: Eukaryota; Metazoa; Chordata; Mammalia; Carnivora; Felidae. The record is from Rfam by way of RNAcentral. RNAcentral also lists the same sequence under 1 other name.
ACCUGGGUGGCUCAGCUGGUUGAGCACCUGACUUUGGCUCGGGUCAUGAUCUCGUGGUUCGUGGGUUCGAGUCCCCCUUCGGGCU